This 327-nucleotide ribosomal RNA is filed under the name uncultured eukaryote. Its description in RNAcentral is "partial 18S ribosomal RNA". It matches the Rfam family "Eukaryotic small subunit ribosomal RNA", at positions 1470 to 1796 of the family's 1831-position model. The record is from RNAcentral.
CCCUUAGAUGUUCUGGGCCGCACGCGCGCUACACUGAUUCAUGCAACAAGUUUUGUCCUUGGCUGAUAGGCCUGGGUAAUCUUUGAACGUGAAUCGUGAUGGGGAUAGAUGAUUGCAAUUAUUCAUCUUCAACGAGGAAUUCCUAGUAAACGCAAGUCAUCAGCUUGCAUUGAUUACGUCCCUGCCCUUUGUACACACCGCCCGUCGCACCUACCGAUCGAAUGGUCCGGUGAAAUCUUCGGAUCUGAGAGAUGUCUGAUUAAUUUCGGACGCCUUUUGGAAAAGUUGUUUAAACCUUACCAUUUAGAGGAAGGUGAANUCGUANCA